CGAACGCUGGCGGCGUGCUUAACACAUGCAAGUCGAACGGAAAGGCCCGCUUGCGGGUACUCGAGUGGCGAACGGGUGAGUAACACGUGGGCAACCUGCCCUCAGCUCUGGGAUAACUCCGGGAAACCGGUGCUAAUACUGGAUAUCGACUUCUGCCUCGCAUGGGGUGUUGUUGAAAGUUUUUCGGCUGGGGAUGGGCCCGCGGCCUAUCAGCUUGUUGGUGGGGUGAUGGCCUACCAAGGCGACGACGGGUAGCCGGCCUGAGAGGGCGACCGGCCACACUGGGACUGAGACACGGCCCAGACUCCUACGGGAGGCAGCAGUGGGGAAUAUUGCGCAAUGGGCGGAAGCCUGACGCAGCGACGCCGCGUGGGGGAUGACGGCCUUCGGGUUGUAAACCUCUUUCAGCACAGACGAAGCGCAAGUGACGGUAUGUGCAGAAGAAGCACCGGCCAACUACGUGCCAGCAGCCGCGGUAAUACGUAGGGUGCGAGCGUUGUCCGGAAUUACUGGGCGUAAAGAGCUUGUAGGUGGUUUGUCGCGUUGUUCGUGAAAUCUCACGGCUUAACUGUGAGCGUGCGGGCGAUACGGGCAGACUAGAGUACUGCAGGGGAGACUGGAAUUCCUGGUGUAGCGGUGGAAUGCGCAGAUAUCAGGAGGAACACCGGUGGCGAAGGCGGGUCUCUGGGCAGUAACUGACGCUGAGAAGCGAAAGCGUGGGGAGCGAACAGGAUUAGAUACCCUGGUAGUCCACGCCGUAAACGGUGGGUACUAGGUGUGGGUUUCCUUCCUUGGGAUCCGUGCCGUAGCUAACGCAUUAAGUACCCCGCCUGGGGAGUACGGCCGCAAGGCUAAAACUCAAAUGAAUUGACGG
Molecule: ribosomal RNA, 874 nt
Filed under: uncultured bacterium
Lineage: Bacteria
Description: bacterial SSU rRNA
Rfam family: Bacterial small subunit ribosomal RNA
Source: RNAcentral